AACUUUGUGAAUGCUAAUCAAGCAAGCAUACCUGAGCAACAUUUUCAGCAUUUUACUUAUAUUUUAAACUGACAGUGAAAUGCUUCUGAAUAAUCAAGUUUACAGAUUGUUAUACUCAGCUAGGGGUUGUGGGGUCUAUAAUCCCAGCACAUCAAGGCUAAGGCAGGAGGACUGCACAAAUCCAAGAGAGCCUGGGCUACAUGAUGAAUUCCAAGUUAGGGUGGACUACAAAGUAUGAACCAGAAAUAGUCCCAGACUCAUUAAGAAUUAUUAGGAAUUAACUCUCUAGAUUUUGACAAUACAUAAUUAUAUUAGAGAUUCUUCCUGAGAAUCUUGUUUUGCUCACAAGUACAAAGACUUGAUAUUAAACAAAAAUUAAGAAUGAUUUAUCAAAAAGAAAGCAAAUCUAUAUAUUGUUUUCAUUCUCUCCUUAGUCGGGGCAAGGGGGUCUGGGGAUUGAUAAAAUGGCUACAGGCACAAUAAGCAUGUGCUUUUGGACCAAGCUGUCCAGGCAGUCCCUACAAGUAGUUCUAAUGGAGAAAGAAUUGAUCAAAAUAAGACCCAAUUCAUCUUUAUAAAUUAGAACACUGAUAUGUUUGUCAAGUUGCCCUAAAAAUACAAAUCAAAGUUGCACACAGGCCAUUCCAUAUCCAUUGACACACAUGAGGUUCUUAAACACCAUUCUUUGGUUUUAAAUGCUUUCCGGAGAAACUGGCUUCCUGUUACACCAGCUUUCUAAUUAGUGGGCACUUGAAAUAUGAGUUCCAGGCCUAUUGAAAAUAAAGCCUUUCCAUUUUGAAAACAGGUAAUUCUGUUAGAAAUUCUUCCCAAGAAUCGUGUUUUAUUCACGGGUAUAAAGACCUUCAGAGCAAGAUUGAUUUCUCCCCACUAGCCUGGCCUUAAGUUUAGAAAAAGUGUAUCUUGCUCUAGUUAUUUCAGCAUUAGGCAGAUACCUUAAUCGGCAAUCUGACCUGUCUUAACAAGUGGAUGUAGCCCAAGCUUGUCAUUGAUGUAGUUCAUGAUAUUCCUAAGGUUCUUUCAAGUUUAUCUCUCAUCAACCUCAAAGAGCUAAGGGGCAAAAUGAUGUUUUGCAUUUUAAACAAAGAAAUGUUAAAUUUGAGAGCUGUUUAUAUUUUUAUUUAUGGCUGCUGUCUAUUUUUGAACCUGUAGAAAUCAACGAUCUUAAACUAGAAAACCUUAUUCUAAAAGGGCAGCAGGAGUAGAAAUCCUCGGGGGUUUUUCCACCUUAGUUUUAAUGAUUGAAAGAAAAAAGGAAUCCAAAACAGCUUUUUUAAAUUAUCUGCUUAAACUAUGAGAAUAGUAUCAAGAUACUUAACUAAGCUAAAUCAGUUAAGCAUACUAUAAAAAUAUUCUUAAUGAAAAUGGAAUAAGAUGCUGCCUAGCUGACACAUUGUAAGCAAAUGUUCUAUCGUGUAGACUUUUUAAAAUAAAAACAAAGUUUCUUCUAUCUGGUGGUUUCCUGGCGCCCAGGGAUAGCCACUAUCUAAUGUGAGAACUCUGCAACCCAGCAGUAUUUAAAAAAUCCAAAAAAGACUUGACUCUUCAAGCAAAAUAUGCUUUAAAUUACAUUUAGCAAUGAUCAUCAAGACACACUAGAACUUAUUGUUUUCAAUUAAUUGUCCAUUAGUACCGAAGACAAAAAAAAAAAAAGAGUAUUUACAUUGUAAAUCCCUGACUGGUAUGUAGCACCAAAAAUUUGUUUUCUGACAUCUCAAAGAACUGUACUUUCAGCUCAUUUCACCCAACCCUUCUCUCCCUCGCUCUGGGAUGGAACUCAGGGUGAUGUACAUAGUACACAAGUCCUCCAUUAUUUUGAGUUAUACCCUCAGCUGGCCCCGCAGCCAUUUCUCUUGAAAUGCACUAUAAAAAUAUUCUUAAUCAUGAUGUAAUAGAAUGCUAAUUAGCUGACAUAUUGGAACCAAAUGUUCUAUCAUUUAGACUUUCUUUUAAUAAAAAUAAAGUUUGUUCUGCCAGGUAGUUUCCUGGUCCCUAGGGGUGUCACCUUAAGUGAAGGACCACUGUUGUAAUCUUGAACCCCUUGUUUUGGGCACUGAAGUGCCAGGAAAAGGGAAAAGAGGAAGCCAGGAAUGGUGACUCAUGCCUGUAUUCAGGAGUGGGAGGGUUAGAAUUCUGAGGCCAGCCUGUACCACAUAGUGAGUCCCAGCUAUGGUGUGAUAUCUGAUCCCAUUCCUGCCCCUCCCC
Molecule: long non-coding RNA, 2223 nt
Filed under: Mus musculus (house mouse)
Lineage: Eukaryota; Metazoa; Chordata; Mammalia; Rodentia; Muridae
Description: long non-coding RNA chrX:36048369-36050592
Source: RNAcentral